UACAGAGGGGGCAAGCGUUGUUCGGAAUUACUGGGCGUAAAGGGCGCGUAGGCGGCCUUGUAAGUCGAACGUGAAAUCCCCGGGCUCAACCCGGGAACUGCGUCCGAUACUGGAAGGCUUGAAUUCGGGAGAGGGAUGCGGAAUUCCAGGUGUAGCGGUGAAAUGCGUAGAUAUCUGGAGGAACACCGGUGGCGAAGGCGGCAUCCUGGACCGGCAUUGACGCCGAGGCGCGAAAGCCAGGGGAGCAAACGGG
This 253-nucleotide ribosomal RNA is filed under the name uncultured bacterium. RNAcentral describes it as "partial 16S ribosomal RNA". It matches the Rfam family "Bacterial small subunit ribosomal RNA", at positions 524 to 776 of the family's 1533-position model. The record is from RNAcentral.